UGAUGGUAGUUUUAUUUUGUUGCAACAAACAGUCUGAAACUUAACACCCUUUAAAUUGUGCAGUCUUUGGAAUUGUUUUUAUUUCAGUUUCAUAAAUGAGUCUUGUGGAAUCUGCAAAUGGGUUCAAAUCGGCGACUGCAACAGGAGCGUACAGGAGAGCAGCAACUAGUUCGUUCGCCUCGCCGCGGGUGCUGCUGCUGCAACACCUACAACCGACGGAGGAGAACGGGCUGACCGACACAAUUCACGAGUGAUCUUGGUGGAAUAACGCGCGUUGAGCUGCUUUAACACCUUUUUACAGGCUGUACAAUAGUUGGACAGCAGAUCUUCUUCGCCAAUGGCAAGUCCGGUUGCAGACAUAGGACAGUCUCAUCAGCAUCACCCUGUGACCAACUCGGCCGCUGACUCCGCGUUUCAGGAGGCGCAGACAUGGAUAGAGGCUGCUACAGGAAGAUGCUUUGGUGACAAGGACUUCAGAGGGGGUUUGGAGAAUGGGAUUUUGCUAUGCGAGUUGUUGAGCUCUAUUAAACCCGGCCUGGUGAAGAAAAUCAACAGACUUCCGACACCCAUAGCGGGCCUGGACAACCUCAGUGUGUUUCUGCGUGGCUGUGAAGAGUUGGGACUGAAAGGUUCCCAGCUGUUUGACCCUGGAGACCUGCAGGACACGUCGACACGCCCCACUGCCAAGGGAAGUGACUGCAGCCGAAAGCUCAAGAAUGUUCUAAUCACCAUCUACUGGUUGGGUCGUGCUGCUAACAGCUGUACCUCCUACAACGGUCCCACGCUGGACCUGAAAGAGUUUGAGGGCCUGCUUUCACAGAUGCGAAAGGAGGCAGAGGAGGCAGAGAGCCCUAAACGCAGCAUCCGGGACAGUGGCUACAUCGACUGCUGGGACUCUGAGCGCAGCGACUCUCUCUCCCCACCACGCCACGGCCGCGAGGACUCGUUCGACAGUCUGGACUCCUUCGGCUCACGCUCACGACAGACCCCAUCGCCGGACGUCCUGGUCGCCCGCGGCAGCAGUGAUGGCCGCGGCAGUGACUCAGAGUCCGACGGUCCCCCCCACAGAAAGAUACCUGACAUCCGUAAGGAUGACAUGUUGGCACGUCGGACGUCCAUCAGCGAACCACGAACAGCCAUGCCUUUCAACCAGUACCUGCCAAACAAGAGCAACCAGAGUGGAUAUUUGCCCACUCCACUCCGCAAGAAGAAGAAUGAUAAAGAAGAUGGAGCACGCAAGAGUUGGAGUACUGCUACUUCACCUGUAGGGGGAGACAGACCACUCAGUCCAAAUGAGCCCCCUAGCUUAGACGACCCACCUGGAGAGUCCCCCAGCUUGUCCGCUACCCCGCCCCUUGAACCCCAAAUACAGAUUCAGAAGACGAACCAGACUAAAAAGGACGAUGAGGAAGGGAAGCAGACUGCCUCUACACUUUGCCUUGAGAUCCAUGCAGCAGGCUUAAGGAGGAGCAGUGAGCCUCUGCCAUGUAGAGUCCCCCAACCCUGUGCAGAGCCACCCAUGGUGAACGUAACUCACCUGAUCAUCACCUCUGAGCAAAGUACUCGCUCGUGCUCAGAGGAACUCUUCCACCAUUCCACAACUCUAGCAGCAAACGCUGCAGCAACCCCCGCAGUUGCAGCAAGCCCCAUCAUCACCCCCGGGAAGCAUCCACCUGUCCCGGCACAGGAGGAGGCGGCUGUGACGAAGGGAGCCACUGGUAUCCCGUUAGUCGCAGAACGAGAUGAGAAGCUGGCUCGCCAAAUGUUGAUCUCUCCCAAACACAUCACCAUUCCGAGUCCCCCCCACUUCCUUCCUGUGCCCACUAUCGUGGCAACUGCUACAACAGCAACAACUGAUACAGGACGACGGAAGGGAAGGGCGCUCAGUGAAAGUGACGACCCACAAGGAGGGAACUCUUGGUUGGCCAGCAGUCUUCCAGCAACAUUCAGCCGCACACACAGUGUGUCAGAUGAUCCACAGAGUGUAAGUAUGAUCGAUAUGCGUGGUGAGGAGGAGGCCAUCUUGCAGCCCCACAGUCAGGUGCGUCAUGAACUGAUGCACAACCAGUAUAACAGGAUGAAAGAAGAGGAUGAUCACUGGCAGGAUGACCUGGCCCGAUGGAAAAAUCGGAGGAGGAGUAUUUCCCAGGACCUAAUCAAGAAGGAGGAGGAGAGGAAGAUGAUGGAGCAGUUGCUGUCAGGAGACACCUGUACCUCCAUGAGGAGGAGAAGCAUCAAGACUUACAGAGAGAUAGUGCAGGACAAGGAGCGUCGUGAGGAUGAGCUGCGGGAUGCGUACAGGAGAGCCAGAACCCCAGAGGAGGCAUCAUUCAUCCUCCAGCGUUAUGCCCAGCGUUUCUCCAUCAGUGAUGCAGUCCUGGAACGCCUACAGUUGCCAAAGAUCCUGGACCGCAGCCUAUCUGCUGAUCCCACCUUUUCCGGCUCACCCUUCCCUCUCUCCCUGUCCGCCUCCCCAACGACCCCAGACCCCUUUGACAUGGACCCCAACGGACCCAUGAAGUAUCUGCGCCAGCUGUCUGCUCCGGCUCCGAAGUUCACAUCUACACUGGAAGCGCAAAUUGAGGAGUUUCCCAAAGACUCUUCAAACCAGCGGCCUCAGAUUCGAUCUCGCUCAUCUGAGCCGCCAUCCACCAGAAACCUGUCGCCUAAACCGGUGCCUUUGCUGACGCCCAAGCCUUACUUCCAUUCCGGACCCACAACGGCUGAACCAUGGCCCAGCAAGGCGGAUGGUUUUCUCCGAGUCAACGGCAUAGGAAGUGACGACGUUCCUUCCACUCCUGACAGUCAAGGAAGGGAAUCUCCGCCUCAUUUUCAGGCGUCCCCUUCCCAAACCAGCAACAGCACUGUAGAUGCUCCGUCGUCAGCAGCCUUACCAACAUGCAGUCCACACACCUCAACCAGAGAAGAAAGCUCUGUGUCAACAAAGGCCAAGGAGGCACAAAGUGGCACAGAACCGGUUUCUAAGGACCUCCAAGCCGAGAAAGUCAUUCAGCAUUCGGCGCCACCCAGCCGGCCCACCUCGCUGCCAUCGGAGCUGCAGAAGCCAGAAGAAAGCAUUGGGAAGACUGAAAGCCAGUCAGUAGCUGCUGCAGAGGUGAAGUCAAGUGCUGCAGCUCAAGAAAUGCCUCCUGCAGAAGCCAAACAAGAACAAGAUAUAACUGAACCAUCUGGUCAAAGCAUCUGCAACCCCGUCCAGUCAGGGAUCAGCACACAGCAAAGUCAGCCAGCAACUUCACAGGCAAGUGUUCCCAGUUUCCACGAGUUGCCACAGCGAAGAGAGAAUGCACCAAGCUUAGCUGCACCAGGAUCAUUUGAAUAUCACCCACCAAGGGAAACAACAGCAGAGUUUGCAAACAGUGUCAGGUCUCCGCUGGCAACCAGCAACCCUAAGUUACGCUGGGAGUUCUUCGUUCCGCCAGAAGAGGCGGAGAAGGAUUGCCGUGGAAACGUGUCAGUCCCGGUGUUGCCCCAGGCCAGGCGGGGUGACCGCUGGUCUUGGGACCCGGAUGAGGAGCGAAAGCGUCAGGAAAGGUGGCAGCAAGAGCAGGAGCGCAUGCUGCAGGAGAAGUACCGGUGCGAGCAGGAGAAGCUGAAGGAGGAGUGGGAGAAAGCCCAGAGGGAGGUGGCCGAGGAGGAGAGGAAGUACCACGAGGAGGAGCGUAGGAUACUGGAGGAAACUGUGACGCCUCUAACUCCCCGCUCCUCAGCCCUGCCCUCCCCCAGCCGAGGCGAGGCCUCCUCUACCUCGGAGCCCCAAGACACCAUCGUCCGUUCGCUUGGUGACUGGGAACGCAAACAGGAACUGCUGGAGAGGCACUCGAAGGGGAGCACAGAGAGUGUCGAAUGGAAACGAAGAGAAAACGACAGGACCAGUGAUAUCAGCACCGCUGAUGACAGCAUGAAAACAGGCAGAAGCUUGGUGAGUCAGAGCAGCAGUCAGCCAGAGACACUCGGUCACAGUCUGCAGAACGGCCAAAAACUCCCUGCGAUGCCGAGCAAAACCUCGACUCCUGUGAAGAAACAAGAAGAGCCUUCAGCAGACAGCAACAAGCCCAACCGGCCUGCAGGAGACAGGAGGAGUGGUCCAAUAGAUAAUAUCAUGUGCCCCAGCUCAUCAAAAAGCCCCACAGCAUGUCCACCACCUCCAGACACACUGCCUCCAACACCUAACAGUGAAAUGUACAUUCCUAAACAUUACUGCAAAUGUGCCAGAGUUGUCUCGAAAUUCAACUGCUCAUCUGCAGUCCCAGGUCUGUCAGUGGGAAGAAACUGUGCUCCAGCUGUGGGCAGCCGUUAGGGAAGGGGGCCGCCAUGAUCAUAGAGACCCUCAGUCUUUACUUCCACAUUCACUGCUUUAAGUGCGGAGUGUGUAAAGGACAGUUAGGCGACACGACCACGGGGACGGACGUCCGGAUCAGAAACGGUCUCCUCAACUGCCACCAGUGCUACAUCCGCUCCCGCUCGGCCGGACAGCCAACCACGUUGUGACGGUCAACAGAAAAGCACAAGGUUCAUGGAAGAAACCCCAUCCCUGUUUUAACCCGAUAAUCUACGAAUCAUGUCCUUCACAGCGUGUCGGGAUCUUUGCGUCCUCUGCAGCUCAAUAACCGAUGAAGAUCAGUCAGGGGGGGCAAAUAAGGGAUCUGGGGACAGCCAACCAUUUAAAAAUAUAUAUUCUUCAUGUUUAUGUCAUCUGAUAUGUGAGUGAAAACUGGAUUUGAUUGGUCCACGUAGUACCACGGACUCUGUUUCAUCAUGCAGCGAGAGAGAGAGAGAGAGACUGUUCUGGGGUGGCAGCCAUGUUGAAAACAAAAGAAAACAACCUUAACGGAUGCUAGAAACAAAGAUAAUGUUAACGUCCUAUAUUGUCAGAGUGAACACACAAAAGGAAAAGAAUAUGGUGUUCAUGUCUUCAAGGUGGUUAAGUAAAAUCAGGAUUUAUUUUCCUGUUGGAAAACGUUAGAAUAUUUGCCAUUCAAUUCCAUAUGAUGGAAAUGCAGAACAUCACAUAGUUAAUAAAUUACUUUUUUUAUCAUUUGAAAAAAGGUUUUCUUUAUUUGGAUUAAAAUCCAAAAGCUAGAGAGACCUAAAUAUGUGGUCAGGCAGCUCAGGUUGGGUUUAGUUAUUUCUCUAAACCGAAUGGAUCUGAAAAAUAUUAAUAAUUGAAUUCACCUUUUAACUGAGUGCUAAUUAAAAGAAAAAAUAUAUACAAAAACAUUUAGAGUAAUGCAGUAAAAGUCACUUCAAACCCAAGAUUUAGAUCAACAGACAUAUCUAAAGUAAGGCACUAUUUGCCCUACAGAACAAUGUAUCUUGUUCUGUACUCCUAAAUAAAAUUAGCCUCUAAUAUAAACACAUGUUGCAGAUGUAGUUUCAUCUUUAGGGCGAUAGCAUGACUCUUGAGCUGUUUUUGUGCUUUGGGUCACAGCAGGUUGCUCCUCGGCCAGUCGGUCCGCCUGGAAAGUCAGGACUAUAAUGUGCCUUAGGAAAGCAAGAUGAUGCAGGAGGAAACACACCAGCUGUAUGGUGUUUUAUUUCUCUUUUUCAUUUAUAUGGGUGUAGGGAGGGAUUUGGCCAAAUUUUAACCCUUAAAUUGCAGAAAGACAGGCUGCAACCCUCCCUUACAUCACGCUUUACUUCAGUACUGCUUAUUUUACAUGAACAACCCCCUUAAUUUCAUAUUUCCCCCCUGUUAUUCCUCAGUGAUCUGUAGUGAUAACAACCAGUGCAGAGGAAUACAUUUGUUGUCUAUUUGGAAAAAAUAUAUACUGCAGGGCAAACAUGGAUUUAAUUUUGAAUGUUUUAUUCUAGAGAGAUAUAGACUUCUCUAUGCUAUUAAUUGAGGUAAUUUUGAUAAUUGCUCAGUGGUAGGAUUCAUUAAUAAAAUUACAAAACACAAAAAUCACCAGUUCAUGUUGCAUCUAGUAUAAAAAGCAAAGGUAAUAUGAACACUCAUACCAGCAACUGUUGCACCUGUGCAAUAUUUGGUUGGAUUAAAACUAAAGAUCUGUGCCGCCAGCUGGGCAUUUUCGGUCACUUGCUUCUUUUCUUUUUAAACUUGUAUGAGAGGAGCUCGGUCAUGUAUUGUGGAUG
RNA transcript from Etheostoma spectabile (orangethroat darter), 6114 nucleotides. It is a transcript of the gene named LIM and calponin homology domains-containing protein 1, with no coding region annotated. Lineage: Eukaryota; Metazoa; Chordata; Actinopteri; Perciformes; Percidae. The record is from RefSeq and is a predicted model, not a curated record. The transcript is spliced from 31 exons.